Vespula vulgaris is the source of this 7701-nucleotide long non-coding RNA. RefSeq lists it as uncharacterized. The transcript has 2 exons. NCBI's taxonomy places the organism in Eukaryota, Metazoa, Arthropoda, Insecta, Hymenoptera, Vespidae. The record is from RefSeq and is a predicted model, not a curated record.
UGAAAACACAACACCUCUCGAGCGGUCUACAGGUGGUUCUCCCAGGUCUCCUUCAGAAGGAAGGGGGGACACCUACUUGGACUCGGGGGACUCUCCGUUGAUCGGGAAAUAACUGACUAUGUAGUUACUUCUUUAAAAAUGUUAGUGACUUAAAAAAUGUCGUUUGUCAACGAAACAUUUUUUAUGAAUAGGACAGUUAUUUCUUUCUUUUCUUUUCGACUUUACUUCUCGCCAAGAUGCUAAAUGUCCUAAAACGAAUCAAAUCGAAAGUAACUCGGGUUUCGUAAAAGGUUGGUUAAGCGAUAUCAUUUAGCGAAUCGUUGUUGUCCUUGUUCGCCUCGAGAUACCACAGGAGUCUUGCAUCGGAAUGCAAUCUUGUCUCUUCUAGCAGCCGCGGCCGCCGCCACCGCCGUUGCUGCUGCUGCUGCUGCCGCUGCUGCUGCUGCUGCUGCUGCUGCUGCUGCUGCUGGAUACGACUGGUUUUUCAGAAAGAAAAAUGAAGCGUACGACCGCUUCGGGAUAUUUUUUCCGUCCCUCGUCUUCGGAUUAGGAGACACGGGGAGAGAGAAGAGAAGAGGAGAAUGCUCGAGGGGGAAAAGGAACGAAGUUUAUUGCCAUUCCUUGUGGUGGAUCGUCGACCUUGACGACGAUUCUCAUCGGACGAAUCAGAGUCUCUUCCGCGAUAUACGGAAAUUAAGUCACGCGAUCGAUCGAUUCGUUUAUGAAAACUUUUGUGGUAUUUCAAUGGGUAUAUACAGGGUGGUCUAAAAUAGGCUUAAUUCGAAGAAAAAUAAUUCACUUAAAAAAGAGAGUAAAAUGAUAUUAUACAACUUCAACAAGACCAAAUAUAAUCUCUACCGUAUCCUCUAUAAAUAAGAACAUUUCUAAUUCGAAAUAAUAAGAAAUAUGAUUAAGUAAAAGGUUUAUGGGCAUAUCAAAAAGAUACAUUUUUAAUUCAUAUGUCUCUAACUCUUCAUUUAUCAUCAAUAGUAAGAAGAAAUUGAUCAGCUACGAUUUGGGUGACCGGUACGAAUGUGACGAAGACUAAACGAGUUAAUCGUUUUAAAAACAUGGUUUUUCGUGAAAUGUAAUUUCAAGGAGAAUCAUAAAAGUAACGAAAGGAAAAAUGGAUUUUGAACAGAGCUCGAGACAAGUUUGCUAUGCGUUAUGAUCGUUCACCCGUUAGAUAAUUUAUACAUGGUACAUGGACGAACGAUCUCUUGGAACUUAUUCAAAGUCGAUUAGAGCUCGAACGAUCAAAGUCUUGUGUUCGAGACAUCGUACUUCUUUUAUUAUAUAUAUAUAUAUAUACAUUUUCUUCUUAUUUUUAGGCUCUGAGAAGUUCUCGAAAGUAGAGAGAGAGAAAGAGGCACCUUUCACUCGGAGGUCUCGAUCGUUCUCCCUUAUCGCGUCGGUCCCUUUUCGACCUUGGUUGUUCGGCUUGUAGAGAAAGAGAGAGAGGAAGAGACAGAGAGAGAGAGAGAGAGAGAGAGAGGGAAGGAGAGAGAGAGAUUCCAGUACUUUCGUAUACGGUGUUUAACGGCCCACCAUUUAGAAACCGUUCGACGUAGUUUCCUUCCUUCUCUCUGUCCUUUUAUACGUCCUUCUGUACGUCCAUACAAACGUCCGUACGUCCUCCUGACCCGACUGAGACUUCUCUCUUUCUCUCUCCUCGUUCGGUCUUCGCUUUUCUACCAUGAUGGUUUUUAUGGGUCGAGCAUAACGGUGAGAUCGAGUCGAGUUCAUGGCACGUCUGUUCACGCUAUAUCGUUAAGUGUCAUAGGUCAUCACUGGCAUAUAUUGAAAUCGAUUACGUUCGACUUGGAUUUAGUCUUUACAGAUUCGUGGAAUCUGCACCGAUCUCUGAUUACUUUGGUUCGGAUGCUUUUGAUAGAAACGGAUCUUCUUGAAUUUUCCCCGAAUUUGGAGAAAGACGGAAACGGAAGUGGAAGAUUUCUCUUGUCUGUAAGCAGUCUUUUUUACCCGCAUAGGAUUCCAUGCGUGACCUCUUGAUACUGAUACCGGUUUCACUUGAUUAUUCAGACAACUAUUGUGCAUUCCUGAGCGAUAAUAUUUACAUACCCAUUGGAUGGAUUUUUGAUUUUUGAUCGGAUAUGUUUGAAACAGUUUUUCUUGAAACAUUUCAUAAGUAAUCUCAUCGAAGAUCGUGAAUGCUGUCAAAUAUUCUAAUUUUAAACUUGUUCGAAAUAGUUUCUGUUACAAGCAAAUCUUUUCUCUAGCUUAGAAUUUGUUUUUUGGAUACCUGGAUAGUUCAGAAUAUUGAAUAGUACGAAAUAAAAAUUGUAUGGAUCUUUCGCUGGAUGAAUCAUCGAUAAAGCAUAGUUUAUUCGAGUCAAAGAAGCUUGGUACGUUAGUCCUUUGAAAAUUUUCGAAUAAGAAGAAGACAGGAAUCGUGUUAUACCAAGCACGUUCGACGUGGUGUCAGAGCUCGAGCGGUAUUCGGCGUAGGUGUUUAAGCGUGGGCUCAUUCAUAGAUAGCUUCUCUAUUCCACUCGUAUCGUUUCUUACCAGUCGAAGGAACAAAGAACUCUGUCUCUUUCUCUCUCUCUCGACUUACGAAGCCUCUCCUUUUAUUUUUAUUUUAUUUUUGGAAGAUUUUCUUACAAGCAAGUUCGCGGACUUUCGUAAAAACGUACGAUUAUUAAAUAUUCGAAAGUUUGAAUUCCGCGAGGCCGAGUAAAGUCGAAUAUUCGUGUUGUUCCUUCCGCAAUGGCGUGACGCGUUUCAACGUAUCUCGUUAACCAAUCCGAUCGAUUUUCACCCUUGACUGACGGAGAGAAUGCUGUACUGUGAAAACUACCAAUUCCGAUGGUUAAAGCUGUACGGGAUAUUGUACGAGCGAGUGUACCAGUGUAUACAAGGUGUUUUAAAUUUAUAGGAAUUAUUUGAAAAUUUUUAGGAAAAUUGGUAUACCAAAUAUUUUCUUGUAAAAGUUAUUUGAAAUCGGAGUAAAAAUUAAUUUCUGUGGUUUUUGUCUGAUGUCAGGAGAUAUUAUAAACUCUUUAUUUUUUUUUUUUUUACAUUUGAUUUUCUUAUGUGAUUUCUAAGCUAAAGAGUUAUACAUACAUAUAACAAUCGUAAACUGGAAUUUCAAGAUGGCAUAAUUUUAACAUGUUAAAUAAAUAAUUUGGUAUAUAAAUUGUCUAAGCAGAGCUAACGUUAGGAGAAUACACGUUAAAUGAGAGAAUGUUUUUAAGGAUACGAGCUGAACGUACGUCUUCUCUCUAUCUCUUUUUCUUUUCGCAUAAUAACGAACAUAUAGAAACGAGAAGAUCUUGUAAAAAUAAAAGGAGCCAACGUGUCGUCGCCAUCAUCGUCGAACGAUCGACGUGCCAAGUCGCAAGUACACCUGUUGCUCGACAAAAAUCGUGGCACACUGACCCUAGUUGCGUUUUAGAAUAAAUUUAGUCGUGUGGCGUGUUCGCCAUUAACGGUGCCGGACCGUUCUCGCUUAUGGCAGACGCAUUUUAAUUUGCCAGACGUGAACGAAAAGGUCGAACGUGUUUCUUCCUUUACGUUCCUCCAGAGACAUUGUUUUAUUCUAAUCCUACUGUCGUGUCAACGAGAUUCUAAGAAGUACGAGCACGUACCUACGCGUCGUUAGCUCUCUUCUUCUUCUUCCUCUUCAUCUGGAUUCGAGUUAAGCGUUUCUCCCGUUGAUGCGAUCCCGUUAGAAACGCCUUUGCAAACUUGGAUCUUUUAAACUCGUUGGUGCUUUUCCGAUCGCGUUAAAUUGUGACGGAAUUCUCGUAUGAAUUUAGUUUGAAGAUCAUUAUUAAUAACAUUGGAAUUAAUCAUUAAUGUUAUGAAUAAUUUUGUUUUCGGUAUAUAUUAUAGGUACUUUGAAGAAAUGCGAAGACGAUCCUUUCGGUCGAUUCCCUUCGUUAACGAACGUAGUUGGUUGAAAAAAAGAAAAAAGAAAAGAAAAUGAACAAAAUAAUUAUAUAAAAGCAAUUGAUUUUAUUGGUCAAUGGCACGAGAAGCCCGUUUUAAAGCAAUUAAUUUAUCGAUACGAUAAAAGCGUUAAGAAACGUAUUAUUUAUUUAAACAACAUUAAUGUAGAAAAUACUCGAUCGGUCCGUAUUAAAAUUAAUAUUAUAGAUACUAAUGCGACAUGUAAUCAACGAUUAGUUAUUCGCGAAUAAGACAGGUUUCGAACAAGUUCGUUAUUAUUAAUUACCAAUGAGAAACGCACAAAGUAAUAAGAGUACAUUAUCUUUUGCUGUUUUUUUUUUCAAGCAACAGAUAACUACCGUUAUUCGAAAGUAACGAUUCUGCAAUAUCGCUACAGGACAGCGUCCAAAGUGAGAGCAGGUGUGUACAUAUGUACGUACAUACACGCGCAUAAACCGCGUUCCUGCAUGAAACAGUCUCGACAAGAGUUUUCUAUUAUCCCUCAACCAAAUUCUUUUAAGCGACACUUUCCUUUCAAAUUAUUUCUUGGCUUCUCCUUAUUUUUUCGAAAUUUCUCACCUAAUCAUCUUGUUUUUCUUAUCGUAUAACUUUCACUACAAAACUUUACAUAUCGAGAUUACGACGACCUGACAGAAUGUACAUAUAAGAAAAAAUCAAUGUAGAAGACGUUGACUUUAAAGAAGGUCACAGCUUUAUGUAUAAUGUUUGUAUAUACGAGGGCGAACAAGAGAAAGAGAGAGAGAGAGAGAGAGAGAGAGCAAGAUCAUGCCUCGUUUUGUUAUUGUUUUUAAGAUCGUCGUUUCGAGGGACUUCUUAAGAGAUAUGAGUCAUAUGACUCAGUUCAAGUUUAGACGCUGUACGGUUUAGUUCUCUCCUUUGUUACCUCGCAUUUAUAUACGCAUUUCACACGGAAUGACAAAUUUUUUCUAAUUUUCUCAUCGUCUACGAAUCACGAAGGAAGAUAAAGCGAACUACCUGCAUGAAUACGAGUAUCACCAAGCUACAAAAAUCUUGGCACACUGACCUACUAAUAGCCGAUAAGAAGAAGGAGGAGAAGAAGAAGAAGAAGAAGAAGAAGAAGAAGAAGAAGAAGAAGGAAAUAGCACUCAAAAGUAACGUUCUUGAUUAGGAAUGUUUCUAACUCGGGCGAUUACUACUAUAUUAAUCCGUAGAUGCAUGCUUUUCGAUAAAUCGAUAUGUGCACCGCUCCAAUUCUCUCAACUACUUUCUUUUUCUGCGAUCGUCCGUGAUAUUUCGACUGUGAACGUCAUAAGUAGCUUGCUAUGGAAAUACGUUUUAGUAUGAUCGAUGAGUUGCGAUGAACCAAUCUCGUUCGAUCGAAUAUUUUGCUUACCGUUAUUUCGUAUUUUUACGCGUCCGAUUUUUAUUAGUUACUAAGCUAUACAUAUUAUUUUCUAAUAUCUAUUUAGCGAUGAUUUAAUAUUGAAUUAGAUAUAUAUAUAUGUGUAUGUAUAUAUAUAAAAGAAAAGAUAAAUAUAAUAUCAAAAAGAGUUCGAUAUGAGACACACAAUGAUACUUAAUGUUUAUAUUUAUCUGUCUAAUGGUCAAUAGUCGGACAAAGAAAGUCGCACAUGCAUAUACGUAAGCAGUCUUAGACGAGCUCUUCUCCUUUUCACAAUCGACAUGCGUUUAUCGUCGUUGGAAAGCGACAGGAAGUUGGAAGAAGAGCCGACUCGUAAUAACGUUAGAUCUCUUUCGUAACGAUGUUUACUGCAAUGGCUUGUGUAAAUUGAACGGGUUUUUAGAGUUUUCCGUUAAAAGUAAUACCUAAUUUAUUCGUUAGUAGAUCUAAUUGAAAGAUUUCGUCCACGUUUAAGGUACCAUUAUUCUUAAAUAAACUACAUUUUUGUUUAAACAAAGCGAACAAAACUUUUCGAUAAAUGUAAUAUUUUUAAAUUCUAAUUAUUAUUAGAAUUCAUAUAAUUAUCGUUAUAUGGAAUAGUUUUUAUAUUAAUAUAAUCAACACCGACGAUUGAGAAUUAUCUACAACUCUCGGGAAAGUUUAGAUCAAAUUUUGUUGUUAUUACUAGAAAAUUAGAAAUAAGCUAUCCGUUACAAUUAGAAGUACUCUAAGAAAGCCAAAGUAUCUUUUCUAAAGAGGAUCGAUUCUCCUCCUUUAAGGUCUACCCUGCAAGUUCCUCGUUCUAUCUCUUUGUCUCUCUCGUUCAUCGAUUCUGGUGGCCCUACCUGCUACUCGAGACUCACCAAGCGAUGAUUUAAUUAAUAGGGAACCCUUCGAGUAUCGAAGCAUCGAGGGCUGAUAUCCGGUAUAAGAUUACCUCUACUCGUCCAUUAUUGGAUUCUUGGUAAUAUAUGUAUGUAGAGUGAAAGUGUGCAAUAGACUUUGUCUUCUUUCAAAUACGAAACUCUUGCGAAUUUAAGAUCUUUAAUGAUAUUUGAGAUGGUAUUUUUAUCGUAAUUUUCCACAUUUUUCUCUUUUAUUAUCAGCAGAAAAUGAUAACGAUCUUUAAUGUAAUUAAUUUAGUUUCAUGUUACGUAUAAUUUAUUUCAUUCGUCAUUAUUUAUUCGUUAUUCGGCAAUUCAACGCUACAACUAUUGACUUUGUAUAUAUUUAAAGGUGACAUUGUAUAUUAUCGAUUAGAUUUAGAACGUGAAAUGAAUUGUUUAUUCACGCGUUCCGUUCCAGAACACGUAUUCACGAAUCAUCCUGUAUUUUUCCGUGCGAUCUCUCGCGUCCCAAAAUUCCAAAUAAAAGUCAGAACGUGCGAGGAAUGUAAGAUACGUGCAUGAAAAAUUUGGAAUAAAGAGACAUCACGAAAGAGGACGUCGAAAGAGGCGUGGUGUUUAACGAACGAACGAACCAACUGCACAAAAUCAUUUUUAUCAACUUUAUCUCUCUACAAACUUUCUUCAAGGUUCAUUAUUCCUAACGCGAACUCUCCUCGGCUCUUUCUCUUUUGCAAUUUUUUCUUCUCCUAUUUCUUUUUUCCUUCUUUUCUUCUUUUUUUUUUUCUUUGACUCACUGAUCGACACCGAUAACGCGUUACGUCUCGUUGAGAUUUUCGAAGAUCCAGGCCGAUGCAGUUUGUAAGAGAAAGAAAGAGAUAGAUGGAUAGAUAGAGAGAAAAGAGAUGGGAGGUGUAACCCGGUUACAUCGUAAUCUUAAACACCGAUUUGCCUUUCGAGAGAGGACAUUGCAUUUACUCGGAGACCUUUAUCGACACUUCCGAAAACGGUCGUGUUCUGAUUUUCCUUAUUUCAAAAUUUAUUUAUCGAGUUGAUAUCCUUUUUUAGAGACGAAUACCUGAUGGUAUUUUUAUGAGAGUUUUUAAUAAUUACGUUCUCAAAUGGAGAGUGCGCCACAGUGAGUGUACGAAAGAAAAGAAAAUUACAUCUAUCUACGUAAGCAGAUCUUUUUAACGACAGUAAAUGUAUAGAAAUAUUUGUUAUAUUUAAUUAAAGUAUAUACCUGUUCUACAAUAUUAACUACGAAAUAUCAUACUUUGUGUAUUUCAAAGAAGGAUAUAAAUUAGUUGGGAGAAAAUAUUACAGUAACUUUCAUCGUGAAAUUUGAGUAAAAUCGGAUCACGCUGACCAUUUUCGGAAUAACAGGCUAUUUAUUUCGAACAGAGAUCUUUAGCACUUUCAUCUUAUCUCCGUUUAAUAGUCUUUUUUAUGUUUUCGCUAUACGGUAGCUAUGCUUUUGCGCGUAUAUACUUCGGAGUCGUAAAAAAAAAAAAAAGAAAAGAAAAAAAGAUGAGAAAAAAAGAGAAAAAAGGAAAA